Molecule: ribosomal RNA, 433 nt
Filed under: uncultured bacterium
Lineage: Bacteria
Description: partial 16S ribosomal RNA
Rfam family: Bacterial small subunit ribosomal RNA
Source: RNAcentral
AACGAACGCUGGCGGCAUGCCUAACACAUGCAAGUCGAACGAAACCUUCGGGCCUUGUGGCGCUCGGGUGCGUACCGCGUGGUAACCUGCCCUUAGGUUCGGAAUACCUCCCUGAAAGGGGUCUUAAUACCGGUUAAUCUCUUCCGACCAAGGAUCUAUGGCUUUUGGAUGGGCCCGGGUUGGAUUAGGCGGUUGGUAGGGUACAAGCCUAUCAUGGCCAUGAUCCAGAGCUGGUAUGAGAAGAUGAUCUGCCACACUGGGACUGAGACACGGCCCAGAAUGCGACGGGAGGGAGCAGAAGGGAAUAUUAGACGAGGGGGGAAGGUCUAGUCCAGCAGUGCGGGGGAAGUGAGGAAGGGCUUAGGGUUGUAAAGCUCUUUUAGCCGAGAUGAUAGUGACGGUACCGGGAGAAUAAGCUCCGGCUAACUACGUG